This 1035-nucleotide long non-coding RNA is filed under the name Gallus gallus (chicken). RNAcentral's name for it is "lncRNA (ENSGALG00010009194.1)". The record is from RNAcentral. Lineage: Eukaryota; Metazoa; Chordata; Aves; Galliformes; Phasianidae.
UACUACAGAACAGUGUCUGAAGGGACCUCUGAGGGGUCUGUGACCAAUGAACAAGGCCGUGCCAGAGCCACACCUCAAAAUGAAUGUGUCUGUGGAUAAGUCCAUGCUGCAGAAGAGAUACGUCUGAAGAGGUUGUGGUCCAUCAGUAAACCAACACCAGAACAGUGGAGCAGGAAGGGGGAUCUCUCCUUGCUGGUGUGCUCAUUCAGAAGGACCACUGCAGACUGAGUCUGGGCCUGCUGUCCAAAGUUCAGUGCUGUUUCAUGUGAUCGUCCAAAAGGUCACUCAAGUUGUUUUUUGAACAAAGCUUUGGGAUUUUUUUUUUUUUUUUUUUUUUUUUUAUCCUAAUAGAAACAUUUUGGGACCAGAAACUCAGAGUGGCAGCCGGAGUGGCUGUGUUCAUUACCCCACGGAGCCACUCAGAUACAAUAGCCUUGGAAAGACAAAGGGCUGUUUAUUACUGUGGAGCAAUUCUCAGCAGAGACCAUUAUCAGGUGGGAAAGCACUGUCCUGAAGAUCUCUAGGAUCAAAGAAAUAUUAUCCUGUCCUUCCAUUAUGUGAUAUAGAAGAAACAAAACACCUCAUUGCUAGCAGAGAGAAGAACCAGCCACUAAGACGAUCAGAGGGCUGGAGCACCUCUCCUAUGAAAAAAAGGUUGAAGGAACUGGGCUUGUUUCUCUUGGAGAAGAGAAGGCUCCAGGGAGACCUCAUUGUGGCUUUCCAGUAUUUGAAGGGAGCAUAUAAACAGGAGGUGCAACAUCUGUUUACGAGGGUGGAUAGUGAUAGGACAAGGGGGAAUGGUUUUAAACUGAGACAGGGGAGGUUUAGGAGGAAAAACUUAGGAGGAAGUUUUUCACCCAGAGGGUGGUGAUGCACUGGAACAGGUUGCCCAAGGAGGCUGUGGGUGCCCCAUCCCUGGAGGCAUUCAAGACCAGGCUGGAUGUGGCUCUGGGCAGCCUGGUCUGGUGGUUGGUGACCCUGCACAUGGCAGCGGAGUUGAAUCUCGAUGAUCUUUGAGGUUCUUUUCAACCCAGG